This 326-nucleotide ribosomal RNA is filed under the name uncultured eukaryote. RNAcentral's name for it is "partial 18S ribosomal RNA". It matches the Rfam family "Eukaryotic small subunit ribosomal RNA", at positions 1470 to 1796 of the family's 1831-position model. The record is from RNAcentral.
CCCUUAGAUGUUCUGGGCCGCACGCGCGCUACACUGAUGCACUCAACGAGUCUCACCUUGACCGAAAGGUCCGGGAAAUCUUCGAACUUGCAUCGUGAUGGGGAUAGAUUAUUGCAACUAUUAAUCUUCAACGAGGAAUACCUAGUAGGCGUGUGUCAUCAGCGCGCGUCGAUUACGUCCCUGCCCUUUGUACACACCGCCCGUCGCUCCUACCGAUUGAAUGGUCCGGUGAAGCGUUCGGAUGUGUGAGGCGAGACGGUCCGCCGUCCCUCCUCGUGCAGAAGUUCGUUAAACCUUAUCAUUUAGAGGAAGGAGAAGUCGUANCA